RNAcentral lists this ribosomal RNA (424 nucleotides) under Verrucomicrobiota bacterium. Its description in RNAcentral is "Verrucomicrobia bacterium partial 16S ribosomal RNA". It matches the Rfam family "Bacterial small subunit ribosomal RNA", at positions 355 to 776 of the family's 1533-position model. The record is from RNAcentral. Lineage: Bacteria; Pseudomonadati; Verrucomicrobiota.
UGAGGAAUAUUGGUCAAUGGGCGAGAGCCUGAACCAGCCAAGUAGCGUGCAGGAUGACGGCCCUAUGGGUUGUAAACUGCUUUUAUGUGGGGAUAAAGUGCGUGACGUGUCAUGCAUUGCAGGUACCACAUGAAUAAGGACCGGCUAAUUCCGUGCCAGCAGCCGCGGUAAUACGGAAGGUCCGGGCGUUAUCCGGAUUUAUUGGGUUUAAAGGGAGCGUAGGCUGUCUAUUAAGCGUGUUGUGAAAUUUACCGGCUCAACCGGUGGCUUGCAGCGCGAACUGGUCGACUUGAGAGUGCAGGAAGUAGGCGGAAUUCAUGGUGUAGCGGUGAAAUGCUUAGAUAUCAUGACGAACUCCGAUUGCGCAGGCAGCUUACUGUAGCAUAACUGACGCUGAUGCUCGAAAGUGCGGGUAUCAAACAGG